This is a small nuclear RNA of Suricata suricatta (meerkat), 108 nucleotides long. NCBI's taxonomy places the organism in Eukaryota, Metazoa, Chordata, Mammalia, Carnivora, Herpestidae. The record is from Ensembl.
GUGUUUGCUUCAGCAGCACAUAUACUAAAAUUAGAACAAUACACAGAAGAUUAGCAUGGCCCCUGCACAAGGAUGACACACAAAAGUUAUGUGGGCUUCUCCUUAGCA